This is a long non-coding RNA of Astatotilapia calliptera (eastern happy), 2427 nucleotides long. The record is from Ensembl. Lineage: Eukaryota; Metazoa; Chordata; Actinopteri; Cichliformes; Cichlidae.
AUCUACUUUAAGAGCAAGAUGCUUGCUGAGUAUUUGAAGGGCCAGACCAGAGUCCACGUGAAAGAACUGGGCAUGGUUUUAGGAAUCGAGUCCAGCGACCUCCCCUUGCUAGCUGCCGUGGCCAGCACUCACUCCCCCUAUGUUGCCCAGAUCUUACUAUGAAACAGUACUGGCACUGAGGUCUCCAACAGUUCGCUUCCUGGGGAGGUCGGUCAGAGCUGUGCGGUGCCACCCGGCCCCAGAAACGGGCCGUCCACGCUCUGCUGCUGACUCUCUACAUGGUUUCCUGACCCGCGUGUCUGUGUGGCACAGGUCUUUAUGGACCACAGCCAGAGCUGACGCUUAAACUCAUUGCUGCUAUUUCAGAGCAAUGAUGACGUUGAACCACAGGGUGGAGUUGGAGACCACAGACCCAGAGAUGGAGCGAGGCACUGCGGAUGAAUGGAAACAUCCCUGAGAUGACCUUCUCCUGUCGUUGUUUGAAUGUUUUUAAAUAGGACUCUUUCAUUUUAGGACACAAAAGCCAAAGACUUUAAUUUUAUUUUUCAGCUGAAAAUGAAAAUCUAAGGGUGUCUAUAGUGUAAUAACAAUGGAUUUGUUUCUUCAUCUGCUUUCUCCCCCCCUGUACAAUCUUAAACCUGGUCAUACGAAGUGAUGAAUAACAUGUUUAAAUGAAGCAGGCGGAUGAUUUUAAACUUUCCUUUGAGGUAAAUAUCACUUGGAAGAGAACUUUAUCAAUCUCAUGCCAAUUAAGUCUUUUUGUUUAUCGUCAGGACUUUGUUUACAGGCCAAAUUUCCCUGAGUUAGAUCAAAAGAUUUUGCUUUUUGUCAAACUGCAGUGCCCACCUGACUUUUUGUUUUGUUUUUGCAAACUUGUUUUGAAAUGGCGAAUUAAGUGGCUAUGACAUUCUUAUCACAGGUACAGCACUACCUCAGAUCUUCAUAUGGGCAUGUGGCUAACCAUGUACAGCCGCCCCAUAGAAAACCCUGAGGUACUUUCUAAGCUAUUUUAAUCAUAGGAAUGUCAACUGUGCAGACUCUAUGCUGUGUUCUCAUAAAAUUUAAAAAAAAAAGGGAAAGGCUGUGUAAUUCCUUAAGAUGAUUGAUUCACACAAAAAAGGAAGAAACUUAUUUUUGCGUCAGAAUGUGAUUAAAUGGGGUCCCUUUAUACUGUGGAAAAGCUAAACCAUGCAUUAUCUACAUCUAUUUUACAACCAAAAAAGAAAAAAUGCUGAAAUAUUUUCACACUUUUAUAGCUUUGCGACCUUUAUACGAUGUUUACGGCGUUGAUGUUUGCUGCAAUGAGAGGAAUAGAGGAACACAGUAGGCCUUAUAGUGGAUAUGUAUAUGUCAGCUGACACUAUUCUCAAGGUUGUUUCUAUUACAGUUAGACUCACAAAAUACAAAACUAUAGUAGGACACGUUUUCCUUUUGUUUUCUUGGCAUUGACAGAUUUUGGUUGUUAUGCAGUACAAGCAGGGUGCGAUUUGUUGAGAGUAAAAAUGCAGGCUUAGAUUUUGUGGAAUCUGGGACACUCUUUCUUUUUUUUUUUUUUUUUUUUUUUUUUUUUAAAUAAAUCUUGAAUUGAUGGGAAAAUGUUAACAUGUUCACAAACUGCCCGAAUCAGAGAGAGCUUCACAUAUUUUCUAACUAUAGCGUACUUUUUAUCCAGCACCUUGGAGGCAGUGGGACAAUUUUUGAACUUCUGCAAAUCUCUAAGAUGAAAAUAUUGUUUGAGCUUGUUAAUGGAAGCGCAGUCUAACUGCAUUCUCUGAAAGCAGCACUCUAACCCUGGGAAUUCCACAGUGUGUGUGUGUGUGUGUGUGUGUGUGUGUGUGUGUGUGUGUGUGUGUGUGUGUUUGUUCAGCCCAAAUCGCACCCUGGGUAUAACCCAAGUCUUAACGGAAAAGUGGCAUAAAUGUAUCGCAGGCUUCUGGAGAGCUCGUUUUUGCUGUUAUAAUUGAUAUAUACAAAUAUGCUUGUUACUGUAUUUGAAGAUACUCCGCUAUAUCAGCCUACUUUUUUUUUUUUUUUUUUUUUUUGUACAAACCAGCCAUUAUGUUUAAAGGGUAUGGAUUUAUAUCUCCUUUUCCCUCUUUAUAUAUGGAUAAAUUAUUUAGUUGCCUGUGUUUAAGUGUAACGGUUUGUGUAAACUGUACAUAUUCAAGUUUAUUUCCAUGUAUUUGUACAGAAUGUCUUUUAAAAAAUUGUCUCCUCGAAUUUAUUCUUUUCCCAAUUUUAUGGGAACGUUGUGCAAUAAAGAUGCUGAUGAUGAAAAUUUCCGUGCCUCUCUGGGAAAGUUUUUCUGUCUCCGAAUUUAACGGACAGUUAGUUGACAUGACCCCGUGUUUUUGGUUGGUUUACAAGACAUUACAAAGUGGCUUUCUGUCAAACCACAAGCCUUUGAGUCACUGGCGCAGCUCCAGC